CAAAGCUCUCCGGCAGUCCUUAGUCUCGGUCUCGGUCUUACGCUUUCAGUCUCUCGGUAUCUCCCCGCCCUCGUACCGAACAGGAUCUUACGGCGAAACGACGUCGUGCGAAGGUGCGGGAAUACGCCGCGUGUAUAUUCCUCACACUGUUCGCAAAACUCUCAUACCUAUCCGCUGUCCUGUGUGUGGAUUCUAACGAUGAAGAGUGAACAGUCCGCGCAACCGUACGCUGUAUACAUGCCUACCGUACCCCCGAUACUUUUAACCUCCUCUUUAAAAGACUCCCGGCUCAGGUACCUGCGCUGACACGAGCGUUUAUCCUCAUCGCCUAUCUAUCCGUCUAUCCCUCCGUAUGAUCCUUCGCUACGAUUCCUAAUCGUCGAUUGUAACAGAUGCAAUUACACACCGACGCUCGCGCCAUAAUGACAACUCUCCGCGUUAUUUUAUAUAUACAUUCGCGCGCGUCCCGCGUUCGCGUCCUGGAUAUAAGCGGCCUAUUAACUACACGUACACAGGUACAUUCAGAUUAUCUAGGUGCAACGGACCGGAUUUUAUCGCGUCCACGAUCUACCCACUUUUUCGCACGCGUCCAGUAUUCUUCUCCGUAUAAUGUUAUCUAAUCGAAUAACACCUGCGUGCAUCUACGACGCAUAGGUAUAUCUCAAUCGGCGUUUACCGCGAUCCUGUUUACCGCUAUCAGUGGAUACUUUUCGUCGUUUUAACAUAGAAACUUAACACCGAAUAUUACGCGAACUCGUAUCUCGUCCGUCGGUUCAACGAGUGCAGUCAUUAAACCGGGUAGGCAUACACCACCGUACCGUACACCGCUUAUACCAUAAAUUGUUUGCGGUUUGAAUUGCGAGCCGGUGCACUCUUGAAGGGGGAGGCGAUGGGGGAGGGGGAUAAGGCGAGCAGCAAAGAUCGUGGGUAAUGAAUUCGUGGUGACUCUUUUCGUGCAACCUAUAGACUUUAUAGGUGAUGAGCCGUUGGUGCUUCUGCUGCCGCUGCCGUUGCCGCUGCUACUUCUGCAUUUCCUUCGUCCACACGGUCGCUACUACUGCCGUGGCAAAGCCGUUGCCGAUGAUCAUCAUCCCCCCACACAUAGCGGGUACAUAUAUAUAACGAAGCUUACGAGUUACGAGCCGCACGUACCAAACUGGUUAGCUAAUGUGCAAGUAAUAACCAACAAUCUGCUUUAACUUGGACACGAGAAGUGGUUGAGUAUUCUUAAGUAACAGGAAAACUAGAAAAAAAAAAAACAAAAAAAAACAACAACAACAAUAAUAAUAAUAAGGAUAAUAUUAAUAUUCCAUUACCUUAUCUCGUUACCGAGAUUAGCCGCCGAUUGCAGCCGGUGGGACAAUGAAAUUACCGUAAUCUCGCAUUGAUCGUUAUCAAGAAUUCGUGAAAUUGUUAUUUUUUUUUUUUGUUCUACAUGGCACCGAAGUAACAAGGUAGAUGAUAAGACGUUGAUACGUUAAAAGAGAGUUCACAAGCUCGUUGUGAUCUCGAGGGGAAGAGUUUCUAGAAAUUCAGGUGAUAUAAUGUAACGUUAUUAUUGUAUUUCAAUCAAAAUUGAUCGACGCAUCGAUUCGACACGGGGGCGAGCGGCUACAGGGAGUUCGAAGAGAUCUAUAAAAGCGAUCUAUAAUUGCAUCGGCACGUCAUAUAAUCGCGAGAGUUCACGGUAUACGAUUAUAACCAUUGGGAAGAAAAGAAGAAACGAAUAAGAAAUGUUGGAAGAUAGAAAGAAAAAAAAAAAAAACAACUAAUAUAUUUCGUCUAAUCUCGUGAUCGGUACGGUGUUGUUACCCGGUAAUGUGCCUCUUUCUUCUUCGGUACCGCGGUUCAAUAUAUGGAGGUGAAAUAAUAUCCGUGAUGAUAAAAUAAGGAUAAUAAUAAAAAGUAAAAAAGUAAAAUAAAAUAAAAUAAAGGAAUAAAAUAAAUGAGUAACGUCUUAGAUGCGUGAAGUCUGACUAUACCUGUACACGAACUUUCCCCGUAAACUCUUGUAUUUUCAUCUUCGGUAGUUUUGCAUCAUUCCAUACGGUAGAACUAGGCGGUGUUCGCGGAAUAGCGCGCGGGUGAAACGGCGGCAAUAUCAUCCCUGUAGCGUCUAGUGUACGUUAGGAAUUACACCGUGCGCGAGGUGUCGAGACCGGGAUGAUUUAGAGUCAUAUUUUCUUGAAGAAUUGCGAGUAUCGGGUUUCGCGGCCUCUUAGGUACGGAGUACGUACGUAUCUUUGGCCACGUCGACUUUCAUAGUUGAAGUUUAGUUAUAGUUGUAGACUAAAAGAUGCUAUCUCGUAAUAGUGCAAUAUACAAUGAAUAUUUAGACUUCGGUACCUAUUAACAUACAAUACUUAUGUGGAGCGGAUCUCUGCGUGCCCACAAUUGUAAAUAUUAUACUACAGAGGUGCGACUAAACGUGUACGCUCUACCCGUACCUGUGACUGGCUCGGAUACGUAGAUAUAGGUAUGUCGUCUCCUGGAAGUUCUGCAUAUUCCGUGGACGCAAUACUUCAAAUUUAUUCCUAUCGUACGCAUUCUCAUUGUGCUAUAUCUACAACGAUCGUUGGAAUUUUCAUCCGCUCAAAAACAAGAAAAAAAAACCCCGAUCACUCGUCAAACAUCAUCGUCACGGAUGAAUUUUAUUCACCUGACAUCGAGUUCUUGGAAAAUUUCACGUACGGUUAAUUAUGCGCUAGUGAAACAAUCUGCACCAUCACCGCGACGUAUGGGGUGUACACAUACGCCAGAUUUUGCAGAAGCUUUCUCAGCAUGUAAAAGCCGGGGACUGCCGCUGCCGGUGUGCAAAGGUAGGGGAGUAAUAUGGAGCUGUGGACAGGACAAUAACCGAAUCAGCAUAGCAACGCGGAAGCGGCUGUAUGAAUUUCUUCGGGAGUUUAUCCCAAAGGGACGCGACCGGUACGCGCAACUUUAAGCGACGUGUAACGUUUUACGUUCAUUGCGACUGAGGACUUGUUGUAUAUAUAUAUGCUACACGUACACAUCUACUCAUACCUUAUUGCACCGGUUAACAUCGUCCCCCUGUUUUAACGUCACGUCCUUAUGCUAAUAAGGAAUAAACCGAGUAUACCUAUGCAGGACGAAUUACGACAAAAAGGAACUCGGAAUUCGAAUCAUACGAUCGGGACAGAAGUAACUGACUCUUCAAGAGCUUUCGUCUUCUCGAGUCAAGUUUAUCUCAAAUAAUUUUAUCGAUUACUCGAGUGAUCUGAUCACUCGCGUUAAUUUUAUAUGAAUUCGAUAUGACCAAAAGGGGGAGGUGGGAAUCGUACGGUCAUUUUUUUUUCGAAUUUCGUUUUUUUUUUCUUCUUUGCUUAUCCGAAGUACACCACCCACCGUAAUUGUUAGCCCCCUGGGUAUUCGUGAUCUCGUUUAAAACAAUCGAUGUAUUUGUUGCAACAGAGAGUCGACUGUAUAUCUAUGCGUGACUGUUUUCGGUUUAUCACUAUCGUAUCUGAUUGAUACCAUUUACGCUUUUAUCAAUCCUCUGCAAUGUUCAACUCUUUUUUUCCUAUUUUUUUUUUUUUUUUUGUUCAGUCACCGGCUCCUGCAGGGUUACCGCAAAGGAUAAUAAUGAAUUGGAGUAGAAAAAAACGCACCGUUCUCGGUUUGAAAAUAGAAAAAAAAGAGACGAAAAAAAAUUAAAAAAAAAAAAAAAAAAAGGUAUCCAGUCAACGUUGUCGCAAACGGAAAGCCGAAGCAAGUCGAGCUGCGCUUAUAAGCUAGCCACCGUGGGCAGUGCGAGAAUUUCUACCCUGGGGGAACAUACGAAGGAGUCGGAGGCUGAAUAGUUAAUUAAUUGCCAAAAGUAAGACACUCUAUCUGAUCUCUCGAAUUUGUAUUGAUAUAUACCAAAAGACGUGUUGUAUAUAAAUUAUAAACUUGCGCGAAGACUCUUAUAUAUAUACAUAUGCGGGGAUUAAAGCUGAAACGUGACGGACGUGUGGAAGGAGUCUGCUUACGCUCAACUUAUAAUUAUUAUUAAAAUAUUACCUAAUUUUAUGUGUAUCACAACUAAGGUAAUCGCAACGUCGUAAAAAUAAAAAUAGUACCCGAGGUAUAAUGAAUUUUCGACAAGUGGAUUCUUCAAAAUUUCAUUAUACAAAUUAUAGCAGCCAAUCGAAUCGAGUGAAUGGCUGAUACCCACAGAGUCUAAUCGGAUGUAACCGUACGAUGAAUGAUUCACCCGCGAAAAAGUCGAAUUAUUUUUCAUUUUGUUUGAUUCAUGGUUUUUUUUUUCUUUUUGCGAUACAGGAAUUCACACCGCUGAUACACGUACAGUGUGUUUUCAGAAUUAUAUUCACCUGACCUGACGAACGACACGCAAGUCCUGCAGUUCGCAACGCUGCACGAUUCUAAUUCCUUAGAAGGUUUAGAAUUGGUGUCAGAGUUCGCAUGGUGGCACUAUACAUGUGUAUGUAUAUAUACACGUUCAAUUUCACCUUAUAUACUUUAAGACCACCGUAUCAUUAUACACACGAAGUUGGGUUUAUCCAGAUAUCCCGAACCGUACAAUCUCCGUUCACUAAUUGAAAGAGACAUCAAUGAUUUUUUGGAAAGCUAAAUAUUAUGAGAUAUUUUUAAUGAUUCUUUAAUAUUAACGAACACCCGUACAAGCGCGUCGAUUUCACGCAUCUUCCGGUUGUGCUCGUCUCGGCCUUUACGGAUCUCCCUCCCGCCCGGAGAGGGUGCGAGUAUACAUUUUAUCUCCUGAACAUUGACAAUAACGGAAGACGGCUGGCACAGGGGAGUGUAUUAUAAUGCAAAGUCUGAUCAGUUUCAGUGCGAGAAAGAGGUGGUCGGAGGUUGAAAGUCAUCGCGGAGGAUCGAACGUAGGCGAACAAAGCGCCCGCAAGAGGCUGAAGACCGCCGCGGGCAUUCGGCUUUCCCUUUCACACGCAGCGUAUACUACACGGGUACACGGGUACACCACAUACACAAGUACCCCUCAUCUAGUCACUAAUCUGCGAUUAUACGCGCUGCUGACGCGGUAUUUCGCAGUUAUGUUACACUCGUAGCGUAAACAAUUUUUAAACAUUACAAGAGAUUCUGGUUAUUCUACAUCUUCUUCUCGCGUACAUUUUUUAUUUUCGUUUGUUUGUUUUUUUUUUUUUUUUUCAAUAAUUUUAUUUUUCAACAUUGUCUUCUUUUCUUUUUUUUUUACGCUCUUUAAUUCAUGUAUUCCUCCCAUAAUUGAUUGCCUGCACAAGCUUGUUAUUAAAUAGGUGUUGUCGCGAAAGUGUGAAAUAAUCUCGCGUCACGAUCCCAUACUCGUACUGAUUUUAUUUUUACAUUUUUUUUUUCUCCGUACCGAUGGAAAGAGGAAAAAAAAAAAAAAAUUUCGUAAGAAAAAGAUGGAACGAUCGUUCACCACACUCGUACUGGUCUGAUUAUAGAAUCUCAACCGUGGUUGAAUAUAUUCACGAGUGCAAUUAUUGACCCCAUUGUCGCAUCUCCUUUUAAUUUUCGUUUUUGAAAUUUUCGGUGUCUUGUCGCUGGUAGAAAUUUGUGCUUUUUUUUUUCUUCUUUCAACCGUUGUUCACCGCGAUUGCUAUUAUUCGGCUUGGGAAAAUAGAUCGUCGAAUGCGGACCAGUUUUUGAUAGCACAUGGGCAAAUUUUUCGACUUUCACAACGAUCCGGCUCCUUGGUCGAUCGGUGUGCCGAGCGCUAGAGCAUGACGAGGAUGAGACUGUUUUUUCUCUCUUUUAUUUUUGUGCGCAUUUUUAUAUUUUUUAUUUUAUAAUCUUCAUCUUCGCUUCUUUUUCGUUUCUUUUUAGUUACUCGUUUUUUUUUUUUUUAUUAUUUAUUUGAUUUUUUUUUUAAUGCGAAACAUCGACUGGUAUGCCAAGGACUAGAUUUAUAAUUAGCAUUGCUCUAUCAUCCAGUAUAAAUCCUGAACGAAUUUGCAUUCGAUGUUUGUAUACAUAUAUAUAUAUAUACACGUGCAGUAGUAGGUAUAAGUUUAUAACUGGGAGCACUGCACAAGUAUCAAGUUAAACCACAUAUACGAUAUCCUGGCGAACAACACCGGUAAAAUCUAUAUAAUUUCUACCUAUCCUUGAACACAACUGGUGGUCAUUCCGAACACUAUAGUACCAGAUAUCGAUGUCAGGCAUAAUAACGUGGACCAGGAUUCCGUAAUAUUUUUUUUUCAUUUCAUUUUUUCUAUUUUUCAUUUUUUAUCACUCGUUUCAGAAAACUGGAAAAAAUAAAAUGAAAAAAUAAAACAAGUCGAAAACAAGGACGAAGAUGAGGAUUUUUGAGGCCACCUCCGCACGUAUUCUUUCUCAUUUUUUUUUCGUUAGUUUUAAAUAACGAUUUCUAAGAUGAUCACCCCGUUGAUUUACAAACUCGCAUACCGAUCGCAGAUUUCCAGACAUCCUUGCGGUGCUUCGAUACCGGGAUGGUUAUACCUAACAUUUGGUCGAGCUUUAUGUAGCAUACAGUAUAUCUAAUAAUCAUUCAUUUGUAACUGUG
Athalia rosae (coleseed sawfly) is the source of this 6508-nucleotide long non-coding RNA. RefSeq lists it as uncharacterized. The record is from RefSeq and is a predicted model, not a curated record. The transcript has 3 exons. NCBI's taxonomy places the organism in Eukaryota, Metazoa, Arthropoda, Insecta, Hymenoptera, Athaliidae.